GGUUUAGGCCCUUGGCAAACGGGAGAGUAACGCAUUGGUAAUCUACCUCGAAGACGGGUAUAACUGGGCGAAAGCUCAAAUAAUUCCCGAUGGUAUUGGAUAGCCCAAGUUAUCCACUUAAAGAUUUAUCGCUUCGAGAGGAACCUAUGUACCAUCAGCUUGUUGGUGAGGUAAUGGCUCACCAAGGCUACGACGGUUAUCGGGUGUGAGAGCAUGGCCCGACUCACUGGGACUGAGACACUGCCCAGACUCCUACGGGAGGCUGCAGUCAUGAAUCUUCCUCAAUGGCCGAAAGGCUGAAGGAGCGACGCCGCGUGUGUGAUGAAGCCCUUUGGGGUGUAAAACACUUUUAUCUGGGAAGAACAAAUGACGGUACCAGAUGAAUAAGGGGUUGCUAAACUCGUGCCAGCAGCAGCGGUAAUACGAGUACCCCGAGCGUUAUCCGGAUUUAUUGGGCGUAAAGCGUGCGUAGGCGGNUUGUAACAUCUNCUGUAAAAUCCCAAGGCUCAACCUUGGGCCUGCGGGAGAUAUGGACAAACUAGAGACUGGAAGAGGCAAGCGGAAUUGCUGGUGUAGGGGUUAAAUCCGUUAAUAUCAGCAGGAACGCCAAAAGUGAAGACAGCUUGCUAGGACAGUUCUGACGCUAAGGCACGAAAGCGUGGGGAGCGAACGAGAUUAGAUACCUCGGUAGUCCACGCCGUAAACGAUGGAUGCUGAGCAUCGGGAGUUUCGACCCUCUCGGUGCUGUCUACCUAAGCUAACGCCUUAAGCAUCCCGCCUGGGGAGUACGGUCGCAAGAUUAAAACUCAAAGGAAUAGACGGGGACCCGCACAAGCGGUGGAGCAUGUGGUUUAAUUCGACGAUAAGCGUGGAACCUCACCAAGGUUUGACAUCUAGCUGCAGGCCCCUGGAAACAGGGGGUUCUUCGAGAGUGCUAGACAGAUGCUGCAUGGUUGUCGUCAGCUCGUGUCGUGAGAUGUACGGUUAAGUCCGAAAACGAGCGCAACCCUCAUCCUAUGUUUUAUAUGUCAUAGGAAACUGCCUACUUUAAGUAGGAGGAAGGUGAGGAUGACGUCAAGUCAGCAUGGUUCUUACACCUUGGGCUACACACGUGCUACAAGGGGAAGUACAAAGGGACGCCAAGCCGUAAGGUGGAGCAAAUCCCAAAAAGCUUCCUCAGUUCGGAUUGAGGUCUGCAACUCGACCUCAUGAAGCUGGAAUCGCUAGUA
This 1229-nucleotide ribosomal RNA is filed under the name uncultured bacterium. RNAcentral's name for it is "bacterial SSU rRNA". It matches the Rfam family "Bacterial small subunit ribosomal RNA", at positions 84 to 1340 of the family's 1533-position model. The record is from RNAcentral.